GAUGAACGCUGGCGGCGUGCCUAAUACAUGCAAGUCGAGCGAACAGACGAGGAGCUUGCUCCUCUGACGUUAGCGGCUGACGGGUGAGUAACACGUGGAUAACCUACCUAUAAGACUGGGAUAAUUUCGGGAAACCGGAGCUAAUACCGGAUAAUAUAUUGAACCGCAUGGUUCAAUAGUUAAAGACGGUUUUGCUGUCACUUAUAGAUGGAUCCGCGCCGCAUUAGCUAGUUGGUAAGGUAACGGCUUACCAAGGCAACGAUGCGUAGCCGACCUGAGAGGGUGAUCGGCCACACUGGAACUGAGACACGGUCCAGACUCCUACGGGAGGCAGCAGUAGGGAAUCUUCCGCAAUGGGCGAAAGCCUGACGGAGCAACGCCGCGUGAGUGAUGAAGGUCUUCGGAUCGUAAAACUCUGUUAUUAGGGAAGAACAAAUGUGUAAGUAACUAUGCACGUCUUGACGGUACCUAAUCAGAAAGCCACGGCUAACUACGUG
RNAcentral lists this ribosomal RNA (497 nucleotides) under uncultured bacterium. Its description in RNAcentral is "partial 16S ribosomal RNA". It matches the Rfam family "Bacterial small subunit ribosomal RNA", at positions 28 to 507 of the family's 1533-position model. The record is from RNAcentral.